This 299-nucleotide signal recognition particle RNA is filed under the name Oncorhynchus mykiss (rainbow trout). Its description in RNAcentral is "Metazoan signal recognition particle RNA (ENSOMYG00000072657.1)". It matches the Rfam family "Metazoan signal recognition particle RNA". Rfam says of the family: The signal recognition particle (SRP) is a universally conserved ribonucleoprotein. It is involved in the co-translational targeting of proteins to membranes. Lineage: Eukaryota; Metazoa; Chordata; Actinopteri; Salmoniformes; Salmonidae. The record is from RNAcentral.
GCCGGGUGCGGUGGCAUGUACCUGUAAUCCAAGUCACUGGGAGGCUGAGGUUGGUGGAUCAAGUGAGCUGAGGAGCUCUGGGCUGCAGCACGCUAUGUCGAACGGGUGUCCACGCUAAGUUCGGUAUCGAUAUGGUGUUCCUGGGGGAGCCCGGGACCACCAGGUUGUCUAAGGAGGGGUGAACCGGCCCAGGUCGGAAACGAAGCAGGUCAAAUCCCCCGUGCUGUCCAGUAGUGGGAUAAUACCUGUGAGUAGAUGCUGCAGUGCAGCCUUGGCAAAACAUCGAGACCUAAUCUUUU